This 2039-nucleotide ribosomal RNA is filed under the name activated sludge metagenome. RNAcentral's name for it is "bacterial LSU rRNA". It matches the Rfam family "Bacterial large subunit ribosomal RNA", at positions 3 to 1984 of the family's 2925-position model. The record is from RNAcentral.
UCAAGCGAAGAGGGGCGUACGGUGGAUGCCUAUGAAGGAGCCGCACGGCGAAGAAGGCCGUGACAAGCUGCGAAAAGCCACGGGGAGGAGCACAUAUCCUGAGAUCCGUGGAUGGCCGAAUGGGGUAACCCGGCUGCGGAAGCAGUCAGCGCUGCGUGAACAAACUAGCGUAGUGCGGCGAUACCCAGGGAACUGAACCAUCUCAGUACCUGGAGGAGAAGACAUCAAAAGAGAUUCCCACUAGUAGCGGCGAGCGAACGGGGAAGAGCCCAAACCUAUGUCAGCGUAAUAAGUGCACGCUGUUGCUGGCAGGGGGUAGAUGGUCCAAGUUGGAGGGACGUGCAGGACCUCGCGGAGGAGAGAAAGCGUCUUGGCAAGGGGAACGGCAUGGGAAGGCCGGCCAGAGAGGGUGAGAGCCCCGUACCUGAAAGCUUAAAGGCGGCUUCGUGGACUUGGAACCUAAGUACGGCGAGGCUCGAGAAACCUUGUCGGAAGCAGGGUCGACCACGAUCCAAGGCUAAAUACGAUGCGGCUACCGAUAGUGCACAAGUACCGUGAGGGAAAGGUGAAAAGAACCCCGGUGAGGGGAGUGAAAGAGAACCUGAAACCAUACGCCCACAACAGGUCGGAGCAGAGCGUAAGCUUUGUGACGGCGUGCCUUUUGUAGAAUGAGCCUGCGAGUUACGGUAUGCAGCGAGGUUAAGGAGUUGGAGCUCUGGAGCCGGAGGGAAACCGAGUCUGAUAAGGGCGAAUAGUUGCAUGUCGUAGACCCGAAGCCAGGUGAUCUUAUUACGAGCAGGUUGAAGCUUGAGUAAAAUCAAGUGGAGGACCGAACUCUAGUGUAAUGAAAAACGCAGGGAUGACUCGUGAUAAGGGGUGAAAGGCUAAUCAAACCUGGAAAUAGCUGGCACUCCCCGAAAUGCCUUGAGGGACAGCCUUAUACAAAUGUCAUGGAGGUAGAGCACUGUUUGGACUAGGGGUCUUCACCGGCUACCAAACCCAGGCAAACUACGAAUGCCAUGACACAACGUAUAGGAGUGAGACUGUGGGCGAUAAAGUUCAUAGUCGAGAGGGGAACAGCCCAGACCGACAGCUAAGGUCCCAAAAUGCCGCUAAGUGUGAAAUGAGGUGUUAUUGCGAAGACAGCCAGGAGGUUGGCUCAGAAGCAGCCAUUCCUUAAAAGAGUGCGUAAUAGCUCACUGGUCGAGCAAUGAUGCGCAGACAAUGUAACGGGGCUUAAGCGGUAUACCGAAGCUUCGGAUUCAUGCCGUAAGGUAUGGAUGGUAGGGGAGCAUUCCAUGGACCGGAGAAGGUGCACUGUAAGGUGUGCUGGAGGGGAUGGAAGAGAGAAUGCAGGUAUAAGUACACGAAAAGACGGGUGAGAUUCCCGUCCGCCGAAAACCUAAGGUUUCCUGGGUAAAGGUCAUCUGCCCAGGGUUAGUCGGACCCUAAGAUGAGGCUGAAAGGCGUAGUCGAUGGGAAGCUGGUUCAUAGUCCAGCACCAUGCAAAGACACGAAGGGAUGACGCAUGAGGUGAAACCCGGCCGGAGAACGGUUGUUCCGGUCGAAGCAGUAAGCCUAGUGAAGCGUACAGGCAAAUCCGUAUGCGGAAGGUGAGCUGUGACAGCGAGUGGAGCUACGGCGAAGCGAAGCGGGCGUAAUCAAGGUGCCAAGAAAGAGUCUCUAAGGUUAAUCUUUGCAUGACCGUACCGUAAACGGACACACGUAGGUGGGAUGAGAAAUCUAAGGCGCUCGAGAUAACUCGCGUUAAGGAACUCGGCAAAAUGCACACGUAACUUCGGGAGAAGUGUGGCCUACUGGAAGGUAGGUUGCAGAGAGCAGGCCCAGGCGACUGUUUACCAAAAACACAGGACUCUGCGAACGCGCAAGCGGACGUAUAGGGUCUGACGCCUGCCCGGUGCUGGAAGGUUAAGAGGAGGGGUCAGCCGCAAGGCGAAGCUCUGAAUCGAAGCCCCAGUAAACGGCGGCCGUAACUAUAACGGUCCUAAGGUAGCGAAAUUCCUUGUCGGGUAAGUUCC